Molecule: small nucleolar RNA, 131 nt
Organism: Entelurus aequoreus (snake pipefish)
Lineage: Eukaryota; Metazoa; Chordata; Actinopteri; Syngnathiformes; Syngnathidae
Product: small nucleolar RNA SNORA15
Exons: 1
Source: RefSeq, a predicted model, not a curated record
GCAUGGAUGAAUUCUGUUCCAACUCAGUGGUGGACGCAGCCAGACACCAUGCAAGAGUAUUUCUCAAUUUCUAUGAAAAAAUAAUGGAUGUGCUGUGCUCGGCUUCAUCCUGCGUAGAAAUGAGGACAAUU